ACGUAGGGGGCAAGCGUUGUUCGGAAUUACUGGGCGUAAAGGGCAUGUAGGCGGUUUAGUAAGCUUGGCGUGAAAGACCACAGCUCAACUGUGGGGUUGCGUUGAGAACUGCUGAACUUGAGUUACGGAGAGGGAGCUAGAAUUCCUGGUGGGGGGGUGGAAUGUGUAGAGAUCAGGCAGAAGACCGAUGGUGAAGGUAAGCUUCUGUACGAUAACUGACGCUGAGGUGCGAAAGUGUGGGGAUCAAACCG
RNAcentral lists this ribosomal RNA (251 nucleotides) under uncultured prokaryote. RNAcentral's name for it is "partial 16S rRNA". It matches the Rfam family "Bacterial small subunit ribosomal RNA", at positions 525 to 775 of the family's 1533-position model. The record is from RNAcentral.